Sinocyclocheilus grahami is the source of this 92-nucleotide long non-coding RNA. RefSeq lists it as uncharacterized. NCBI's taxonomy places the organism in Eukaryota, Metazoa, Chordata, Actinopteri, Cypriniformes, Cyprinidae. The record is from RefSeq and is a predicted model, not a curated record. The transcript has 3 exons.
CAGUGUCUGUGUGGUCCAGAGCGAGAUCUUGUUUUCCAUCUUCAUCAGGAUCGUUGUAGUCAUGGUCUUAAGAGGUUAGAGUGGAAUUUGAG